GACGAACGCUGGCGGCGUGCUUAACACAUGCAAGUCGAACGGAAAGGCCCUGCUUUUGUGGGGUGCUCGAGUGGCGAACGGGUGAGUAACACGUGAGUAACCUGCCCUUGACUUUGGGAUAACUUCAGGAAACUGGGGCUAAUACCGGAUAGGAGCUCCUGCUGCAUGGUGGGGGUUGGAAAGUUUCGGCGGUUGGGGAUGGACUCGCGGCUUAUCAGCUUGUUGGUGGGGUAGUGGCUUACCAAGGCUUUGACGGGUAGCCGGCCUGGGAGGGUGACCGGCCACAUUGGGACUGAGAUACGGCCCAGACUCCUACGGGAGGCAGCGGUGGGGAAUAUGGCACAAGGGGCGGAAGCAUGAUGCAGCAACGCCGCGUGCGGGAUGACGGCCUUCGGGUUGUAAACCGCUUUCGCCUGUGACGAAGCGUGAGUGACGGGAAUGGGUAAGAAGCACCGGCUAACUACGUG
RNAcentral lists this ribosomal RNA (467 nucleotides) under uncultured bacterium. Its description in RNAcentral is "partial 16S ribosomal RNA". It matches the Rfam family "Bacterial small subunit ribosomal RNA", at positions 28 to 507 of the family's 1533-position model. The record is from RNAcentral.